Oncorhynchus mykiss (rainbow trout) is the source of this 3217-nucleotide long non-coding RNA. The record is from Ensembl. NCBI's taxonomy places the organism in Eukaryota, Metazoa, Chordata, Actinopteri, Salmoniformes, Salmonidae.
AUGGCUCCAGUGCGCUCAUGUCCAAUAUGCUAUAAGGUUGUGGUUGGCUUUAGUCAGCACCUUAGGUAUGUACACCAUGUGAGGAACAGUGAGGAGAGGGUACUCCUCUGUAAGUGGCAGUCAGGCCGUGUCAAUGUCAGGCAGGAGCAGUGUCCAGUGUCAGGAUGCUCCACACAUCUUAGCAGACUGGACCGGCAUAUAGACUCCCACUCAGAGCUCAACAGAGCACAGAGGAGACAGGUUUUAGAGGACCUUAGGAGACGGCUGACGAUGGAGAGGCUGGCGGUGUUGAGGGCAUCGACCCCUGACAUCCCUAUGGCGACAGAUUUAGACAUUGUGGAGACUGUAAGGAGAGAAGAGGAGGAGGAGGAAAUGUUAUGUUCACCUACAGAAGCAGAGGAGGAAGUGGACUGCAAAGAGGAUUCCUGCCACUGCCAUGCACCAAUCCUGAGACUGAAAAAAGCUGUAAAAGAGAGGGAUGAGGCACUGCAUACAAGAAGUGAGACCAACAAAUCCAUUAAAGAGGACAACCUUAAGUUGAUCUCUGAUCUGCAAAGGUUGAGAAAGAAGUACCAGCUGCUGAAAAGGCAGAUGGGGAUUGGCAUGGUGAAGGCCCUCAACUUUCAGGCAGAGUCAGACACAGACACAAAUCAAGAGGAGCAGGACCAAGCUAGAGGUUCAGGGGACCAGAGAGAGGAGCCUACAGUGUCCGGGUCAAGCUGCAAACUCAUCUUCCCGGGCUCUGCUAUGAGUGUGUUUAUCGAGGGAUUCAGGAAGACCUGUGAGGGCCCUAAUCCAAAUUAUAAGCUGAGUGAAAAUUGUGCCUCAAAGGUCAAGAGGGUGACGCAAUUUUUAAACUACAUGGCGAAGAAUGAGACCUACCAGUCCUCUCUCAUUUUCCUGACAGACCAUGACAAAAUAAGGAAGUAAGCAGAAUAAUUUUUUCUCUCUAGCCUCACAAGCAUUAACCAACAAUACAGUAUUUGAUUGUAUGAUUUGUGUGUGUGUGUGUGUGUUUUUAGAUGGGUUCAAUUCCUCCAGAAGAACAAGGCAAUCACCACAGUCAACCACUACACCUUGACUAUUGGUGCAUUUCUUAAAUAUUCUGAGGAGACCCCUCCAUCUGGCUGCCGGCUGACCGUGAACCAAUGGAGGGGGAUCAACCGGUUGAUGAAGGGCAUUAGCAAGUCCAUGAGACGACCAGUUUCCCUUCACCAGAUAAAGGUGAAGGACAACAAGGAAGGCAAGGUGGUGUCCAAAAAGAGCCUGCUGCAGUGCCAGUCUCUUGCCAAGGCCAAAAUCCCUCAAGUGCUGAGUAAGUUUUUCUCAAUCUGUGAUGUCACUGUUUUUACACACUUAUAGACGUCAGAGAUGUAUAGAAUGCAUUAUGGAGUGGGAUUAUGAAGCUGCCUUUUUUUAUUUUCAUGUUCACAGAAACAUUGGAAGAAACAAGGACACAGAGGAAUCAGUACAGGUUUUAUGGGUACCUGUGUGCCUACUUUACAUCCAUAUACGGCCACAGACCAGGCCUAUAUAAAAACAUGUUGGUGAAAGAGGUGGAGGAGGCAAAAUGUGACCAGUCUGGGGUGUACCUGAUCAAUGUAAGUCUAUGAAAUACAGCUGGCUGUGUUUAUUUGUUUGUUUGCUUGGUUGGUUAUCUUUGGAAACAAUUGCAGUCGCAGGAGCGUAAUGUGUUUUUUUGUGUUUUUUCUCUGUUCAAUUUCUAUUAGGUGGGGGAACACAAAACAAAUCGGGAGUACGGCAUGGUCCAGAUGUCGCUGACAAAGGAGGAGUACAGCUGGUUUUCCGACUUCCUCAAAUUCAAGCACUGUCUCUUAGGGGGAAAGAAGGCCCAGCACUUCUUUUUCAAUUCAACAAACACUCAGAUGAAGAACCUGCCUGCCUACCUGAGGGAGGUGUGGAAGGAGAUGGGUCUGCCCGAAUGUCCUUCAUUCACUGACCUGAGGACCUCCAUUGUCACUCAUGUAGGUCAGAUUAGAUAGGAAUCUAAUUAAUGUAAGAUCCUAUUCUAUUGUUGUCUGAAGUAAUAUCAAUAAUAUCAUAUAUUUGUGUGUGUGUGUGUGUGUGUGUCUUACAGGUAAAAAACAUGCUCCCAAAGGUUGACAGGGAAAGGGUGGCCAACUUCAUGUGCCACAACAUCCAGACGGCAGACAAAUAUUAUGCCAUGAAUUUAAAUCCAACCCAAGCAAAUGAAACCAGGGCACUCUUUGAGGCUGCACUGAAGGGGGAAGAUAACACAGUCGCCGCAGAGAACCAGCCCUCCACCUCAGGAGAAAGAAAGCAGAAGGUGAGAGAGGAUGCCUCCCUCUCCGACGGGAGCACCACCCCUGAAGAGACCAAGGUGAUGUACCAGGAGUCUGGCACGUCCGCCGGUGACUCGGAAGAGGAGGAAGAGGAUGAAGAUGAGGAACAGAUGGCCAGACAACUUCCAGUAAGAUCAGCUAUUCUGACAGGACACAUUUGAUUAUCAAAAUGUACUUGUAAACUAUGUAACAGUCAAGUGUGAAUUCUGAGAUAUAUCUAAUUUCUUGUGUUUGCUCUGUCAGGAGACACCUUCCAAGGUGACCAAUCCUCAGGUGGAGAUGGAACUUACCCCAAAGAGGAAGCGGAGCAUCUGCACACGCCGCAUGGAGGUCGCCAUCAGCCCCAUGCUAGUCUCACCCCUCAAAGUGAGGCUCAAGUCGCCCCCCCACCAGUCCCUCAUUGUCACAUUAAAAGGGAUGCAACAACUAAACUCAAAUAAAGUCAGACUAAAAAAUGCCAUUGCCUCAAGGAGGUUAAAGCUGCAGGAGAAGGUGCAAAAGAGAGGAGGGGACCCCUGAUGCAGCUCGAAGGAAGGGGAGCCGACCAACAACAAGACUUCCUCUUCCAAAUAGUCAUGUAGAUUGUUUUAGACUCUCACAUUUAUACUGUUCUGAUUUUGUUUGGUUUGAUUUUCAAUUUUGGUGUGCUUGUUUACAUUUUAGAAGUGUAAAAUGUGUGUAAUUUAGUCUAACUGUCUGUUCAAUUUUCUAUUUUGGUGUGAUUCUUUAUAAUGUAAAGGUUUGUUCUGUUUUAUUAAAUAACUAGUUUAGUAAUUAUUUGUGUUGUGCUUUCUUUAAGGUUAUAUUCUAACUGUCUGUUCAAUUUUCUAUUUUGGUGUGAUUCUUUAUAAUGUAAAGGUUUGUUCUGUUUUAUUAAAUAACUAGUUGAGUAA